CUCCCAACCCCUGUGACAUACCUAUACGUUGCCUCGGCGGAUCAGCCCGCGCCCCGUAAAACGGGACGGCCCGCCCGAGGACCCCUAAACUCUGUUUUUAGUGGAACUUCUGAGUAAAACAAACAAAUAAAUCAAAACUUUCAACAACGGAUCUCUUGGUUCUGGCAUCGAUGAAGAACGCAGCAAAAUGCGAUAAGUAAUGUGAAUUGCAGAAUUCAGUGAAUCAUCGAAUCUUUGAACGCACAUUGCGCCCGCCAGUAUUCUGGCGGGCAUGCCUGUUCGAGCGUCAUUUCAACCCUCAAGCUCAGCUUGGUGUUGGGACUCGCGGUAACCCGCGUUCCCCAAAUCGAUUGGCGGUCACGUCGAGCUUCCAUAGCGUAGUAAUCAUACACCUCGUUACUGGUAAUCGUCGCGGCCACGCCGUAAAACCCCAACUUCUGAAUGUUGACCUCGGAUCAGGUAGGAAUACCCG
Molecule: ribosomal RNA, 472 nt
Filed under: Fusarium incarnatum
Lineage: Eukaryota; Fungi; Ascomycota; Sordariomycetes; Hypocreales; Nectriaceae
Description: eukaryotic LSU rRNA
Rfam family: 5.8S ribosomal RNA (bases 136-289)
Source: RNAcentral